UUGAUUAUGGCUCAGAUUGAACGCUGGCGGGAUGCUUUACACAUACAAGUCGAACGGCAGCACGGACUUCGGUCUGGUGGCGAGUGGCGAACGGGUGAGUAAUGUAUCGGUGUGCUAGUAGCGGGGGAUAACUACCACGCUGAAAGCGUAGCUAUUACCGCAUACGCCCUUCGGGGAAAGCAGGGGACAUUCAGACUCGCACAAACAGCCGAUAUCGGAUUAGCCGUUGGGUGAGGUAACGGCUCACCAAGGCGACGAUCCGUAGCUGGUUUGAGAGGACGACCAGCCACACUGGGACUGGACACGGCCCAGACUCCUACGGGAGGCAGCAGUGGGGAAUUUUGGACCAUGUGGAAACCCCUGGUCAAUACGCUCCGUGUGUGAUGAAGGCCUUCGGGUUGUAAAGCACUUUUGGCAGGAAGAAACGGCACAGGAUAAUACCCGUACAACUGACAUUACCUGCAGAAUAAGCACCGGCUAACUACGUGCCAGCAGCGGUAAUACAAUGAAGAUUAUGACGUUAAUCGGAAUUACUGGGCGUAAAGCGUGCGCAGGCGGUUGGAAAAGAAAGAUGUAAUCAGAGCUUAACUGAACUUCAUUUUUAACUACCGAGCUGAGUGUGUCAGGAGGUGGGAAUUCCGCGAUGUAGCAGUGAAAUGCGUAGAUAUGCGGAAGACACCGAUGGCGAAGGCAGCCUCCUGGGAUAACACUGACGCUCAUGCACGAAAGCGUGGGGAGCAAACAGGAUUAGAUGCCCUGAUCCCGCCUAAACGAUGUCAACUAGCUGUGGGGCCUUCGGGCGCGGUAGCACCAGCUGCGCGGUCUUGGCCGCCUGGGGAGUGCAGUGCCAGGUCAAACUCAAAGAGAUGACGGGGACCCGCACAAGCGGUGGAUGAUGUGGAUUAAUUCGAUACAACGCGAAAAACCUUACCUACCCUUGACAUGUCUGGAAUCCCGAAGAGAUUUGGAGUGCUCGCAGAGAACCGGAACUGGGUGCUGCAUGGCUGUCGUCAGCUCGUGUCUGACGAAUCGUGGGUUAAGUCCCGCAACGAGCGCAACCCCUUGUCGUCAGUUUUCGAAAGGGCACUCUAAUGCGGACUGCCGGUGACAAACCGGAGGAAGGUGGGGAUGACGUCAAGUCCUCAUGGCCCUUAUGGUGAGGCUUCACACGUCAUGCAAUGGUCGGGACAGAGAGUCUCCCAACCCGCGAGAGGCUCAUCCCCGAAACCCGAUCGUAGUCCGGAUCACAGUCUGCAACUCAUUCCGUGAAAGUCGGAAUCGCUAGUAAUCGCCGGAUCAACAUGUCGCGGUGAAUACGUUCCCGGGUCUUGUACACACCGCCCGUCACACCAUGGGAGUGGGUUUUACCGAAGUAGUUCCCAGCUAUAACGCCGUAAGGAGGGCGAUUACCACGGUGAUUCAUGACUGGGGAGUGAAGGGGAAGUCGUAACAAGGUAA
RNAcentral lists this ribosomal RNA (1458 nucleotides) under uncultured Bordetella sp. Its description in RNAcentral is "partial 16S-23S ribosomal RNA intergenic spacer". It matches the Rfam family "Bacterial small subunit ribosomal RNA". Lineage: Bacteria; Pseudomonadati; Pseudomonadota; Betaproteobacteria; Burkholderiales; Alcaligenaceae. The record is from RNAcentral.